Pseudophryne corroboree (corroboree frog) is the source of this 373-nucleotide long non-coding RNA. RefSeq lists it as uncharacterized. Lineage: Eukaryota; Metazoa; Chordata; Amphibia; Anura; Myobatrachidae. The transcript has 3 exons. The record is from RefSeq and is a predicted model, not a curated record.
CGAGCCAGAAUACAUUUUUGGUAAAUAUACUGUACAGUAGCAAUAGUUGGUACUGUAAUUACAGUAUUUUUUUUUCUCCAACAUUAUUUUAAGUCAAACUGAUAUGACUAACUGUACUGUAUUUUAUCUUUUUACAGUCCGUCGCCAACCAGUGGAGGAGACACCUGUGCCAAUUAUUUAUGGGGGCCCCAGACAGGGGCAAGAUAGGUGGGCUGGCCCAGAAGCGGGCAGGCAGCAGCCCACUUAUACAAGAGAACAGUUGCAGCGUGCCAUCCAGCUCCUGCGGGUGGUGGUCCACCUCCUAGUGGACCACUUUUUUAAUUUGUUAUUGCGAUUAAUUUAAUUUUAUUUAAUAAAAAUUUUUGUUCUUGUA